GAUGAACGCUAGCUACAGGCUUAACACAUGCACGUCGAGGGACCGGCGCACGGGUGAGUAACACGUAUACAACCUGCCCUUUACUCGGGGAUAGCCUUUCGAAAGAAAGAUUAAUAACCGAUAACAAGGAUGGGGAUGCGUUCCAUUAGGUGGUUGGUGAGGUAACGGCCCACCAAACCUUCGAUGGCUAGGGGUUCUGAGAGUAAGUCCCCCCACAUUGUAACUGCGACACUGUCCAAACUCCUACGGGAGGCAGCAGUGAGUAAUACUGGUCAAUGUGCGUUAGCCUGAACCAGCCAAGUAGCGUGAAGGAUGAAGGCUUAUGGGUCGUAAACUUCUUUUAUAUAAGAAUAUGUAUUAUAUGAAUAAGGAUCGGCUAACUCCGUGCCAGCAGCCGCGGUAAUUC
This 406-nucleotide ribosomal RNA is filed under the name uncultured bacterium. RNAcentral describes it as "partial 16S ribosomal RNA". It matches the Rfam family "Bacterial small subunit ribosomal RNA", at positions 28 to 526 of the family's 1533-position model. The record is from RNAcentral.